UAGUAAUUGCUGUAAUCUGUUCUCCAUAGGCUAGCAAGUUAUCUGAGACCAUCUGAAUCAUAGCUUUCUGUCUGAUCAGCUAAAGUGAAGGUCUGAGCUGAGGCUAACAAGUCAUCUGAGAUCAUCUGAAUCAUGGUUUUCUGUCUGAUCAGCUGAAGUGAAGGUCUGAGCUGAGCCAUGGCUUAAGAAAAUUUCAGUGGCUUGCGGGACCAAAGCAACUCCUGUCGCCGAGGAAACUCGGUUAGCAACACCUGAAUGAAAUAACAAGGAGGCAUAGCAAGGCAUUUCUCGGUAGGUAAGCUUAAAUUCUCGAGGGCUGUGUAGUUAACUUUCGAAGAAAGGAGGAAAACGACAUAGUGACUGAGAAAUGGAUAAUAACUUAAGCUUACCUUGAAAAUUAGAAACCAACUCGCGACGGAAAGCUGUCCAAAUUAUUCGAAACAGAAAA
Molecule: long non-coding RNA, 448 nt
Filed under: Orbicella faveolata
Lineage: Eukaryota; Metazoa; Cnidaria; Anthozoa; Scleractinia; Merulinidae
Description: uncharacterized LOC110039653, transcript variant X2
Source: RNAcentral